Lemur catta (Ring-tailed lemur) is the source of this 6089-nucleotide long non-coding RNA. RefSeq lists it as uncharacterized. Lineage: Eukaryota; Metazoa; Chordata; Mammalia; Primates; Lemuridae. The transcript is spliced from 4 exons. The record is from RefSeq and is a predicted model, not a curated record.
UGAGACUCGCGCGCGCUCGUUCUUUCGAGAUUCAGGUCGCGGGCGUGUGCUGUCAGUUUUUGUCCUCGUUUUCCACACUUCAAGGAGCAGCGGGACUCCCAGAGGGGUUUCGAGGGAAGCCCGUACCCUGCAAGGCUGCUGGACAAGAGCCCUGGGCUGAGCUCGCCUUGGCCCUGAGAGUUCCAACGUCUCUUCCCGAGUUUCAGACCUUCAGCGCCCUGCAGGGCCGUCGUGAGCCGGCAGCAGAUCUUGAAUCUAAAUCAACCUCAAUCCAGAGGCCCAGCAGGCAGGAGGGCCUGGUGGUAAGGCAAGCGCUGUGUCUGUCUGAACUGCUUAGAAAUAAAGCAGCGGUGGUGAGUUUGUUAGGUAGGACUAGGGGCAUCCAGGCGGCAGGGGAGGCGACAAUGGGAGGGGCCAAGGGGUCAGAACCAGUAAAAUAGGAGAGAAACCAUAACAGCAGGAACUUGAGGAUAGGGACCUUUCCCGACAGGGGACAUGCACAGAUGCCAGGAAUUUAUGAUAAAAAGUAAACUUUGUCUCAUUAGCAUAGUAAAAAUCACAGUUCCUGGUGAUAGGCAGAGCAGUAGUUACUGAGCCCGGCCACUCCCGCCAUGAUUGCCCUACAUUAACUGCACGUGGCGGAAAGUCACCUGCCCAACCGGGAACAUAUCUGGCUAAACCACAGCGGUGAUGUGGAUCAGGAACUUUACGUCAGCCACCACCUGGCCUGGCCACAACAACUAUGGGUCAAGAGUUUGGUGUUCUACCCAGAAAUAACAGAGAACUGAACAGGGAAGGUGGGAGGGGGGUCAGCUCUCCCCCGCUUAUAAAAAUCCUCACAAAACCGCUUUCUGGGCUGACUCUCUUCGGAUUCAGCCCAGUCGCACUUGAGUGAAUAAACCAGCCCUGUUGCUGCCACGUAGCCUGUGUGUGAGAUCUGUCCUUUGGGUCAUUCCUCUUUCAUUUGGUGCCAAAACCUGGGAUGGCAGCCCCUUCUCCGGAAGGUCAGCUCCUGUCCUGACCCUUCAAGGACGCUUCUCACCGACAUCUGCCUCAGACCCAUCAGCCGGUGCGGCAGCAUCUCACCUCCUCGGAAUCUGGUCUCGGCUUUGCGUUAAGGUCAAUUCCUUUCACUUCCUCUUUUCCUUUCCUCACUGGGCCACCCCUUUUACCGUGUGUCUCAGACUCCGGUGUUUUUCAUGGCUUCCUCAAGGGAAGACGGUCUUCCCCUUUCUGUUUGACCAGUGGCGGGGCCGCGUCCCCACGCCUAACAGCGGUUUUUCAGCCCAGGAUCACAGGUGGGGAUGCCGCCUGUGUUUCCUCAGGGCUGCGCUGUGUGUGGUCCUUCUUUUCUUCUCAUCUUUUUCCUUCCCCCAAUAAUCGGAAAUUUACUGCUCUCUGUCCCCUUUUCUUGUUCUCUGGCCUGUGUUCUCUCCACUCUGAAGCCCCUCCGACUUUAUCCUGACCUUAAGCCCAAACAUCUCGUCUUUUGUAACAUAGCCUGGUCUUAACAUAAAUUAGAUAAUGUGUCACAGUGGGCCGAAAUUGGGACCUUUGGCCUCUAUUCUCCAAGAUCUUGAUAACUUUUGCCAACAUUCAGGCAAGUGAUCCUGAUCCAAGGUUCCGAUGUCCAGGCUUUCUUUGCUGUCCACUCACUGCCCUCCCUCUCUCACUGCCACCCUUCUCCGAUCUUCCUUUCUUCUGCCUGUCCUCCCUCAAUCAGACCCAGACCUGCUCAACCCUCAGAUCACGUAGCCCCCUCCACACGCUCCUCAACCUCCUCAUCCCCCUGCACCGACUCACUCCUCACACUCAGGUGCCUGAUUUGGUCCUAGUCAUCAACUCCCCCUUCACAGGGUUGCUGGGGCAGAAGGAAUCGUUUGCGUCCACGUUCCCUUUUCUCUCACGGACCUCUCCCAGGUUCGGCGCUUAGUUGUUCUCUCGGCAGAUUCCACUAAAUUUAUUCAAGAAUUUCAAGACCUUUGCCAAUCAUGAUCUCACGUGGCAUGAUCUUUCCAUCAUCCUCUCCUCUCAGUUCUGAUGAACGUGACUGAGUGUGGGCUAAUGCCCAGUCACACGCUGACGAUCUUGCCCUCCCUGAGGCCCCCCCACCCCAUGCCCUGCUGUUCCAGGAGGACCCCCAUUGGGAGUGUCAGCACAGUUCCCCAGAUCUCAGGCGCCGAGAUCACCAUUGCCUUUCUGAUAGAAGGACUAAAAAAGGCGGUGGCACAUAAAGCCAUCAGUUAUAACAAAUUAAGAGAAACAACCCAAACCCGAGAUGAGAAUCCUGCCCAAUUCUGGGAGCGAUUAGUUCUGGCCGUGCAGAAAUUCUCUGUGGACCCGGAGGGUCCCGGUGGCCAACUAAUUCUCAGAAUGCAUUUCAUUUCCCAGUCUGCUCCUGACAUUAAAAAGAAACCCCAAAAGCUAGACCUUGGCCCCCAGACCCCACAGUGGGAUCUUACAGAGGUGGCCUUUAAGGUCUUUUAACAACAGGGAGGAAGUGGCCUGUAAACAGAUUAACUGGACUCCAAAUGCUUCCCUUCGCCAUCAGACAACCCAAAACCAGGGGUGCCAAAAAGACUAUUAAGCCUCGUCCAGGAUUCCAGAGUCUGCCAGGCCCAUGUUUCAAAUGUGGCCAAAGUGGCCACUGCGCUAGGAAGUGUCCCCAGCCCGGAGCUCCGCCCUGGCCGUGCCCAGCCUGGGGAGGCCCUCACUGGAAGUCUGACUGCCCUGGACGCCCGAGUCACACAGAGGCAGCCCACAUCGAGGCUGAACUUAAGGGCCCGCAGCAGCUGUGUCCGGAUUUCCGCAGACUGGCGCCUGAAGACUGAUGGUGCCACGAAGCCCAGCAGGCCUGUGGACCAUCUCGGAUGCUGAGCCCCGGCACUCCUGUCCUGCCUGUCAGGAAGCCAAACGGAUUGUGCAGACUUGCCCAGGACCUCCAUCUCAUCAUCUCUGUAGUACAGCCCAUUCAUCAGUGGUUCCUGCCCUUACGCUGUUCUCUCGACCAUCCCACCCGAAACCGCUCACUACACAGUCCUCGAUGUCAAGGAUGCAUUUUUCUCCAUCCCUCUACACCUGUCUCGAGCUCUUCAGUAACGGACCUUUGAAUGCUGCUUUCCCUGGUGUGGGAUUUGUGGAGGGAAGUGGACACUAACCACCGAGGGUCCCGUGUGCCCCCCAUGGACCGCCGGGGUUUGAAGCUGCCACGGAUGACAGGGGAAUGGCAUUCCCUUCAACGGAUGAGACAGAUGCUUCAGAAAACACACCUUUAUUCACAAGGACUGGAAACAGGCUUGCAACGGAAAGCCCAGCUCGACAGCUGCAGCGCAAGGUGGGCGUGCGUGGCGAUCGCAGACCUGGGGCGGCUGGGCCUGCUGCCGUGGCCUGCAGAGCUGGAGCCCCGGUCGGCAGGCGGGGUUGGCAGUCCUACUUUCCUGACAUUUCAGUGAUUUCUCACAUGCUGUUCCCAGUAUCACAAAGCUACACGUGUCUUCCAAGGUCACAUGAGAAGACCCUGUUGAUGUUUGGUGAACCGGAGCCUCCUAUUGGGUGGGCUGGGAGCAAGUGGCUCCCAGGGCACACAAAUGCACAACGUGAUCAGCGGUGAAGGCCUCUGUCCCAGGCGUGGGCCAAAGUCCUUCCUCUGCCUGAGCUGCUGAGCGCAGGUGAAGACAUGGCUUUUCUGAGGGGUUAGGCUUUGAACACGUGGCGCCAGCCCGGGGCCCAGCCACAUCGCUGGGUGUGCCCAGGAGGGAGCAGCAGAGUGCCGUGGCCAGGUCUGCACUUGGUGCCACGCCCCCUCCCAUGCAGAAGACCUUUUUAACGUGACGGCCUUGAGGGCAAGCCAUUAAGGCCACGCCAGUGGAGGGAGGCUGUGGAGCCACACUGCCCCUCGGAAGCCUGGAGACAGACUGCUGCUGGGAGGAGAAGGGGCAAGGUUUGGCCUGGGGUCCUAGAAAUGGAUGCCAUGGGAUUGGCCACUGGGUGACAAGGUCAGAAGGCCUGUAGACCUGUCCAGCCUUCUGAGGCUGGGACUGAGCUCAGCCAGGUUCAGAGGCGGCAGCAGGAGUCCCCUCGGCCCUCCCUCUUCACGUAAUCAUGCAGCCGGAAGUGGGGCUCUCCGGGAGCCUUCAUGGAGCGCUGCUUCAACUCCCUACGGAGCAAGGGUGACAAAACAGCGUGGGCUCCUGUACCCCAACGAGAGGGUUCCGACCCUGGGCUUGGCCUUUCUGGUGACUCCUGGGACUUACUUUGCUAUGCCCGUGAAGGCCAAGUCCACGUUGAGGCCUGUCUUGGCACUGGUCUCCAUGAACGGCAGCCCAUACUCCUGCAAGCAGCCGCUGCCAGCCGGGUGAUGGCCUGGCGUGGUGGGGACAUCCCGGGCUCCACAGCCUCAGGGGCACCCUCCUCGCCACCCACCCUCCCCUGACUCACCUUGGCCAACUUCUCCCCGUCUUCCCUCUUCACCACAUGCUCGUGGGCAGAGUCCACCUGGCCCGGGCACAGAGGUCUUGAUGAUAGCCGGCCCGUGGCUUGCCACCUGCCCCCCCACCUUUGCUCGGUGGGGCUGGGGUGGGGAGGACAGGGCAGGCCUCCCACCUUGUUCCCCAGCAGCAUGAGCACCACGUUGUGCUGGGCAUACUCCUGGAUCUCGGUCAGCCAGGCCUGUAGGGGGAGAGGCUGGUGCCCCUGCACGCCCUGCCCGUGCCCCACAGCCUCUGCCUGUCUCCAGAAGGGCCCCCCGUGUGUCAGGCAGAGGCACCCCCCUUACCGACACCUUACCCAAGGAGACACUUCAAAAAGUUGGAUUGUCACCCGGGACCACCUUGGCCCAUACUCAACCUGAGCCACCUCCAUCCCAGAAGGGACCCUCACGCCCUGUGCCUGGAGGAGGUUGGGGGUGGGUCAGGCCCUACCAGGAAGGAGGCCACUGACCUGGAUGUUGUCAAAGGAGGCCUUGCUGGUGACAUCAUAGAGCAGCAGCAGUGCUGGGAGCAGAGGGGCAGUGAGGACAUCCCCUGUUGCCCACCCCCUCGUGCUCAGAUACCCCCUCCAAGCAGGGCACCCACAGACCACCGUCCCAACUCCCUGGGGGUCAGGCCAUGCAUCCGCGGGCUCACCAUGAGCGUCCCGAUAGUAGGCGUGCGUGACGCUGCGGAACCGCUCCUGGCCAGCUGUGUCCCAGAUCUGCAGCAACAGGCACCUGUCAGGCCGCCCAGCCUCUCCCUGAUGUCCCCUGCCCCCAGCUUGCCCUCCCAGACACCUCACCUGCAGCUUCACCUUCACGCCAUCCACGUCCAGAACUUUGUUCUGAAACAGAACCAGCCAGCUCCAGCGAGGGCCUAGCGCCAGCCUCUGGCCCGGCUCCCAAGGGUGGGGCGGGGAGAGUGGUGUGGAGCCAGCUCUGAGCUCAGGUCCGUUGAUAGGAGUCUGAGGGUCGGGGGCCCUGCCCCUGGCUAAGUCCCCAAAGUCAUUCUUGAGCUAUUGCUUGCCCACCCCCCCACACCACCUGCUUCUGUUCUGACCACCUUCCGUCCUGCCUGAAGGUCACACACCGCCUAAAACCCAAGUGCUCUUUGGGCCACCCAGCCCUCCUGGUGGCCCCAUGCACAGAGGGUGCCCAGGGCCCCUCCCUCUCAGAUGGCCACCCUGGUGAUGGACCAUGGCCAGUUAUCUCCAGUUCUGGGCCAGCAUGUUCCUCUGCCCACCUGGAGGCUCUCCUUCUCCUCCCUGUGCCCCAGGACCUCUGGAGCCCAGCCCCUUCCCCUGUCUCCCAGCCCAGCCCAGCCCUGGCUGCCCUCCUCGUCCCCGCCCCAGCCGGCUCCCCGGUGCCCACUUUCCAACCCCAGCACGCCCCUCCCCUGCGCCGAGUGCAGCCUCUGCCCACCCCCACGUCCUCGCUUGCUCUAUAUGUGCUGCUCCUGCUUGGAGCCACCCGCACAGAUUUGAAGUCACCCAUAGUAUGACCCCAGGCCUUUUGCUAACACUGCCUCAGUUUCCCCAUCUGCAAAUGGGGAUGACCAGGGUGCCAAUCACAUUGGCUGCUCCAGUAACUUAAUGAACUAUUAUAUGCAAAGCAUUGAGAA